CCUACGGGAGGCAGCAGCAGGGAAUAUUGCACAAUGGGCGAAAGCCUGAUGCAGCGACACCGCGUGCGGGAUGACGGCCUUCGGGUUGUAAACCGCUUUCAGGAGGGACGAAAAUGACGGUACCUCCAGAAGAAGCUCCGGCCAACUACGUGCCAGCAGCCGCGGUAAUACGUAGGGAGCAAACGUUGUCCGGAUUUAUUGGGCGUAAAGGGCUCGUAGGCGGUUCAGCAAGUCGGUCGUGAAAGCCCGGGGCUCAACCCCGGGAUGCCGGUCGAAACUGUUGUGACUAGAGUUCGGUAGAGGUGAGUGGAAUUCUCAGUGUAGCGGUGGAAUGCGCAGAUAUUGAGAGGAACACCAUUAGCGAAGGCGGCUCACUGGGCCGAUACCGACGCUGAGGAGCGAAAGCGUGGGGAGCAAACAGGAUUAGAUACCCUGGUAGUCCACCCCGUAAACGAUGAACACUAGGUGUAGCGGAUUUAUUCACGUCUGCUGUGCCGUAGCUAACGCAUUAAGUGUUCCGCCUGGGGAGUACGGCCGCAAGGCUAAAACUCAAAGGAAUUGACGGGG
Molecule: ribosomal RNA, 567 nt
Filed under: uncultured bacterium
Lineage: Bacteria
Description: bacterial SSU rRNA
Rfam family: Bacterial small subunit ribosomal RNA
Source: RNAcentral